RNAcentral lists this ribosomal RNA (468 nucleotides) under uncultured bacterium. RNAcentral's name for it is "partial 16S ribosomal RNA". It matches the Rfam family "Bacterial small subunit ribosomal RNA", at positions 28 to 507 of the family's 1533-position model. The record is from RNAcentral.
GACGAACGCUGGCGGCGUGCUUAACACAUGCAAGUCGAACGGAAAGGCCCUGCUUUUGUGGGGUGCUCGAGUGGCGAACGGGUGAGUAACACGUGAGUAACCUGCCCUUGACUUUGGGAUAACUUCAGGAAACUGGGGCUAAUACCGGAUAGGAGCUCCUGCUGCAUGGUGGGGGUUGGACAGUUUCGGCGGUUGGGGAUGGACUCGCGGCUUAUCAGCUUGUUGGUGGGGUAGUGGCUUACCAAGCCUUUGACGGGUAGCCUGCCUGAGAGGGUUGCCGGCCACAUGGGGACUGAGAUACGGACCAGACUCCUACGGGAGGCAGCAGUGGGGAAUAUUGCACAAUGGGCGGAAGCCUGAUGCAGAGACGCCGCGUGCGGGAUGACGGCCUACGGGUUGUGAACCGCUUUCGCCUGUGACGAAGCGUGAGUGACGGUAAUGGGUAAAGAAGCACCGGCUAACUACGUG